UACGGAGGGUGCAAGCGUUAUCCGGAUUCACUGGGUUUAAAGGGUGCGCAGGCGGGAAAUUAAGUCAGUGGUGAAAGCCGGCAGCUCAACUGUCGAGGUGCCAUUGAAACUGUUAAGCUUGAGUACAGACGAGGUAUGCGGAAUUUAUGAUGUAGCGGUGAAAUGCAUAGAUAUCAUAAAGAACACCGAUAGCGAAGGCAGCAUACUAGACUAGUAACUGACGCUGAGGCACGAAGGCGUGGGGAGCGAACAGG
RNAcentral lists this unclassified non-coding RNA (254 nucleotides) under uncultured Cytophagales bacterium. RNAcentral describes it as "contains 16S-23S intergenic spacer region". It matches the Rfam family "Bacterial small subunit ribosomal RNA", at positions 524 to 776 of the family's 1533-position model. The record is from RNAcentral. Lineage: Bacteria; Pseudomonadati; Bacteroidota; Sphingobacteriia; Sphingobacteriales.